Molecule: long non-coding RNA, 762 nt
Organism: Nerophis ophidion (straightnose pipefish)
Lineage: Eukaryota; Metazoa; Chordata; Actinopteri; Syngnathiformes; Syngnathidae
Exons: 2
Source: RefSeq, a predicted model, not a curated record
ACAAGUGGUUUGCGGUUGGAACAAGGCUUCGAUUCUGCGCCUACUAAUAAGCUGCCAUUUCACUUUGUCCAGGGAGGAUAAAAUGGAAAUAAAGCCAGCCUCCAGGGGAAGUGUAGCUAGCAAGCUCACACUUCCUCACACGUUGGAAAUGAUGAAUGCUGUUAGUUAAAACAAUCGGGAUGCAGAAACACACUCAAUAAUUUUUCUUGUUAGGAUUCGAUGCUAACACACUUGGAAAAACACCUCGCCUGUGUGCUGUCACUCACCUGUAUCCGGUCCCUGCUCCGAAUCCUGGUCCUUCUUCUUGUCUGUGAUGUCUUUGUGAGACACGAGGAAGAGGACCACCUCGCCCUUCUCGUUCUUGAUGGGUACGAUGUCCAGAAGACACCAGAACUGCGUGCCUGUACGCAAAACAAACACAGAAUGCGUCAAUCCGACAGCUGACCGGCAACAUUUCAAAGAACAUGCAGAUGUAAUUUAAAGUUGCUGGAUGCGGACCACUCGUGCAUCAGGAGGUCGCCUACAGCCACUGCUUUGUACGCAAAAGGAAGAAGAUGUACUAGGAACGAAAAGAAGAGAGAAGCUUGUCGACACAAACACACCAAUUUUCGAUCUCCGUCAAGAUGGGGAAAAAGCAUGAGAGGCGGGCAACCGUUUUAGAGAAUGCUCCGACCUUUAAAGAGCUCGGUUCACUCUCUCAUUGCUGGUAUUACUAUUGUUUGUAUUUACUCCUUUUUGUAAAAAUAAAUGGUUAAACCUCAA